Molecule: unclassified non-coding RNA, 90 nt
Filed under: Pseudomonas migulae
Lineage: Bacteria; Pseudomonadati; Pseudomonadota; Gammaproteobacteria; Pseudomonadales; Pseudomonadaceae
Source: RNAcentral
UGUAGGAGCCGGCUUGCUGGCGAUAGCGGUGUGUCAGUCAACUUGUUUAUUGACUGAAUGGACGCUAUCGCCAGCAAGCCGGCUCCUACA